UGGCGACCAUCAAAAAUGAAGAACCUCAAUUUGUUUUUAGUUGUGGCUUUUGCCCUGGUGGCAAUGGUAUCAUCUCAACGUCCUUGGCGAAUCUACCGUACCCCAAAUCCACCAGCAUGGAAACCGAUAUACGUACCACCUACUACAGCUCGUGACAAAUGGUGCCGACUUAAUCUGGGACCUGCGUGGGGUGGGCGAUGCUAAGAAACUUAGAAAACAGCCGUCCUCACACUUCUAUAAAGUCCCUUUAAAAAUCGGGCCCUCUAAAUUUGAAUCUUAAAUUGUUUAAUAGUUAAUGUUUUUUAUAUGGGAACUUAACAUUUUAUUCAUUUGGUAAUAAAUUCUUUAGAAAUUAA
Drosophila bipectinata is the source of this 356-nucleotide non-coding RNA. NCBI's taxonomy places the organism in Eukaryota, Metazoa, Arthropoda, Insecta, Diptera, Drosophilidae. The record is from RefSeq and is a predicted model, not a curated record.